UGGGGAAUAUUGGACAAUGGGCGAAAGCCUGAUCCAGCCAUGCCGCGUGUGUGAAGAAGGUCUUCGGAUUGUAAAGCACUUUAAGUUGGGAGGAAGGGCAUUAACCUAAUACGUUAGUGUUUUGACGUUACCGACAGAAUAAGCACCGGCUAACUCUGUGCCAGCAGCCGCGGUAAUACAGAGGGUGCAAGCGUUAAUCGGAAUUACUGGGCGUAAAGCGCGCGUAGGUGGUUUGUUAAGUUGGAUGUGAAAUCCCCGGGCUCAACCUGGGAACUGCAUUCAAAACUGACUGACUAGAGUAUGGUAGAGGGUGGUGGAAUUUCCUGUGUAGCGGUGAAAUGCGUAGAUAUAGGAAGGAACACCAGUGGCGAAGGCGACCACCUGGACUAAUACGGACACUGAGG
Molecule: ribosomal RNA, 404 nt
Filed under: uncultured bacterium
Lineage: Bacteria
Description: partial 16S ribosomal RNA
Rfam family: Bacterial small subunit ribosomal RNA
Source: RNAcentral